Small nuclear RNA from Rana temporaria (common frog), 149 nucleotides. RefSeq annotates it as U12 minor spliceosomal RNA. The record is from RefSeq and is a predicted model, not a curated record. Lineage: Eukaryota; Metazoa; Chordata; Amphibia; Anura; Ranidae. The transcript has a single exon.
AUGCCUUAAACUAAUGAGUAAGGAAAAUAACAAACUGGGGUGAUGCCUGGUUUCCUCACUAAGUAUGAGAUGAAUUUUUGAAUGGGUACAGGUUUCCCCUUGGAGGAUCUGCUUACUUUGCAGGACCUUCAGGUGAUGAGAUUUGCCCA